UGGUUAAAAAGCUCGUAGUUGGAUCUCGGCGGUCUGAGGGCGGUUCGCUUGAUUGAGUGCUACUGCUCUAUAGGCCGUGGUUUUGCCAGAGGUCUCGGGGUGCUCUUAACCGAGUGUCCUGCGAUGCUGGCAGGUUUACUUUGAAAAAAUUAGAGUGCUCAAAGCAGGCUUUUACGCCUGAAUAUUCGUGCAUGGAAUAAUAGAAUAGGAAGUCGUUUCUAUUUUGUUGGUUUUCGGAAAUCGACUUAAUGAUUAAUAGGGACAGUCGGGGGCAUUUGUAUUCAAACGACAGAGGUGAAAUUCUUGGACCGUUUGAAGACAAACUACUGCGAAAGCAUUUGCCAAGAAUGUUUUCAUUAAUCAAGAACGAAAGUUAGAGGUUCGAAGGCGAUUAGAUACCGCCCUAGUUCUAACCAUAAACGAUGCCAGCUAGCGAUCUGCCGACGUUUUCUUUGUAGACUCGGCAGGAAGCUUCCGGGAAACCAAAGCAUUUGGGUUCCAGGGGAAGUAUGGUUGCAAAGCUGAAGCUUAAAGGAAUUGACGGAAGGGCGCCACCAGGAGUGGAGCCUGUGGCUUAAUUUGACUCAACACGGGAAAUCUCACAGGCCCGGACACUGGAAGGAUUGACAGAUUGAUAGCU
This 640-nucleotide ribosomal RNA is filed under the name uncultured marine eukaryote. RNAcentral's name for it is "SSU rRNA". It matches the Rfam family "Eukaryotic small subunit ribosomal RNA", at positions 616 to 1256 of the family's 1831-position model. The record is from RNAcentral.